Molecule: transfer RNA, 72 nt
Filed under: Sphaerodactylus townsendi
Lineage: Eukaryota; Metazoa; Chordata; Lepidosauria; Squamata; Sphaerodactylidae
Description: tRNA-Ala
Rfam family: tRNA
About the family: Transfer RNA (tRNA) molecules are approximately 80 nucleotides in length. Their secondary structure includes four short double-helical elements and three loops (D, anti-codon, and T loops).
Source: RNAcentral
GGGGUUGUGGCUCAGUGGUGGAACAUCUGCUUGGCAUGCUGAAGGCCGCAGGUUCAAGACCCGGCAUCUCCA